This 219-nucleotide ribosomal RNA is filed under the name uncultured bacterium. RNAcentral's name for it is "partial 16S ribosomal RNA". It matches the Rfam family "Bacterial small subunit ribosomal RNA", at positions 1282 to 1500 of the family's 1533-position model. The record is from RNAcentral.
AACGUCCCAGUUCGGAUUGUAGUCUGCAACCCGACUACAUGAAGCUGGAAUCGCUAGUAAUCGCGGAUCAGAAUGCCGCGGUGAAUACGUUCCCGGGUCUUGUACACACCGCCCGUCACACCAUGGGAGUUGGUAACGCCCGAAGUCAGUGACCCAACCAAACGGAGGGAGCUGCCGAAGGCGGGACCGGUAACUGGGGUGAAGUCGUAACAAGGUACC